UUGCUAUGAUGUAAUUCUAUGAAAAUAGAAUCAUUCUGUUACUUAGUCUUGAAUUUUGAAUAAUUUUAUCUAUGAAGUACUGUUUUUGCGGUGGUACGUUGGAUCCGGCGUCUACCGUAGUUACGUUGGCAAUUUAACGGAAAUACUGGAUUCCUAAAUGAAAAUGAUCAUAUCAAGAGCUGGCCUGUCGUUAUGGAUGAAUAGUAGAAAAAAUCCGGCAAAAAAUUUAGGAAGGCCAGUAUCUGGUCUAUUUAUACCCUUUUGAAAGUAAUAAAGGAAUUUCCAAAGCAUGAAGAUGCUGGCAAAGCGCAUGUUCCCAAGUUUGAUUACUUGCAGUUCUAAGGCUGCUGGCAUCUUAGCACCUUUAAUUAUUCCUCCUGCACAUAUUGCUGCACUUUACUAUUUCUGGACAGAAUUUUCACGAGAUGUCGACAGGCGUCAUUGCUCCUGUUCUUGUUGGGACACCGUAUUCAAGGGCUCCUAUGAAUCUGGUGUUGCAUCUUAUAAGCAUAUGUAUUUUAACGCCACUGCUAAUACCAUAAAAAUAUGGUUUAUGAUAGUAAUUGGUAUAAUUACAUUUUACGAAAGUGUAAAAGAUUUAGCAUGGCUAGCUAUGCAAUGUCGUCUGAGAUUUAGAAUGUUGAUACUUUUUGGGACUGCAGUGUUUUCUCAUUACUAUUCAUGGUGGGUGUACAUAAAUUAUUGGAAUGACGAGUUUUAUUCCCAGUGGUAUCAUCAAUUGUUUUUCACUGCUACCGAAUUAUUGUCGACAAUUCUGGUCGUUCAUUUGGCUGAUGCAAAAAAUCCAAUUACACAUAGAAAAGCAUUUGGCAUCGCUGCUAUUGCAAUCAUGCAUAUUUUAGCUGGUAGUUGGGACCAGUUCAUUACCAAUGUUGUUAGAGGAGAGGGAUAUGCCCAUCAGGUAAUUCGAGAUCUGGGAUUCAUGAUUCCUGAUAUUCUCCAUGUUGCCAUCCCUCUAUGGUCUGUAGAAUGGCAUAAACCCUGUGGCCUACCUGGAGCUGAAUCCAACCAGAAUAUCAGACGUGAUCUCACAAUUAUUUCAGUACUGGUUAUACUCGGAUUGUGCUUUUGUGCUGCCCUGUGAUAUGCAAAACGAUGAGUUAGUAAUCAAAAUAAACGUGACCAGCUGGUUAGCGCUUAUCUCAAAAGCAUAGCGAUGACUGGAAAUAUCGAUUAUAACAGGGUGAUUGCUUGAUUCUCCAAGUAUGCAGCAAAAGAAUUACUCACGUAUGUAUCGCAAUUGAGAUUAACCUUAAGUUAGAAUGCAUUAUUUAGUUGCGUAGAUCCAAUGGUGAAGUUUAUGGACCAAUAUGUGUAACAAUGAAAGUACUGUUAUCGUUAAAGUUCGGGUUUUUUCAAAAUUGCAGUCUACAAUAUAGUGACAAUUUAAUUAUUGGCAAGUUUGACCUAAAAUUAAGGUGUCUAAGUAUCUAGUGUAGAUUCCUUAGUGUUCAACCAGUAGAAAGACAGAGAAACUCUGGAAUCCAGAUUCAGUGAGUGCUUUUAUUUGUAAGUCGAUUUAUCAACGUCUUUCACCAUAUCAAUGGUAUUCUUAGUAUAAAGUACGUAAUACGAACCCUAUGCAUGAAACUUUAAUUGAACAGUACAUAUUUAUUCACGAGUAUUCAAUAUUGACAAACAAACCUCACUAUUGGACCACUUUAGAUAAUGAUGUAGGUAAUUGUUGCUAGAUCUGAUAAAUGACUGAGCCUUCUGACAUGAAAAUUAAAUACGAAUUUGGACUUUGUUGAAAGCUGUUUCUAACUUUCAAAUUAUGUGAAUCAAAAAAAGCAGUCAAAGUCCUAAUAUGUUGAUCAAAGAGUGUUAAGGACUCAUAUACGAGUAGACGACUAAAAAAGUGAGUGGAUUUUGAAAAUUCAUAUCUCAACAACCAAUUAUUCUAGUCAAUUGGGUUCAUUUUGUUCAAGAGGAUGUAGAUCAAUCUAAAUUUAUCAUGAGCAAGCUAUUUGACGUUAUUGUCAAUAAAAAUCC
RNA transcript from Diprion similis, 2013 nucleotides. RefSeq lists it as uncharacterized. Lineage: Eukaryota; Metazoa; Arthropoda; Insecta; Hymenoptera; Diprionidae. The transcript is spliced from 5 exons. The record is from RefSeq and is a predicted model, not a curated record.